This 840-nucleotide long non-coding RNA is filed under the name Ananas comosus (pineapple). RNAcentral describes it as "long non-coding RNA (ACOM_LNC040368)". Lineage: Eukaryota; Viridiplantae; Streptophyta; Magnoliopsida; Poales; Bromeliaceae. The record is from RNAcentral.
UUUUUAAUGGAGUUUAUAAGGUAGAUUUGAAAGAAUGUAUAUAUUUAGAACGGUAAUCAUGAUAUUACUGAUUUUAUGAGGGCAUUUACAAUUUUCAACUUUUGAAGGGUACCCGUGAAAUUACCCAUUUUGUUUAUAGUAAAAAUCGUACAGAACUUAUUUGAGUUAUAGAUAAUUUUAAAUCGGCUAUUCAAUCUUCUAAAAUUUUAAUUUUUUUAUCCAACUUUUCAAUUUAUUUUUUUGAGUCAGUCGAAGAUACUUUGACUUUAAAUUUUAAACAAUAUGUAGUUGCUAGAAUUGUAUGGAAUAUUAUAACUAAAUCUGUAAAAAUAAACGACAUGUUUACUUUUUUAAGUCAAAGUGAAUAGAUGGAUUCAAAUCAAACAAAUUAAAAAGUUAGAUGGUAAAAUCAAAAUGUUAAAAGAUUAUAGUGAAUUGCAGAUAUAUUUCUGUAAAGUUCAACUUUCAUACAUUAUCCUUGCAAAAAUUCUAAUGUUUUCAGAUAUAUCUCUGCCGUUAGAAUUCGUUAAAAAAAUUUAGUUAACCAUAGAUUAAAUACUUUAUCCGGAUUAAUUUUUGACAUUUUUACUCUUCUUAUAUUAUACUGUUAUAACUUUUGGAGGGACAUAUUUAUGAUGGAAAAAUUAAAAAUAUAAACAGUUUUCUAAUGGUUCUCUAACGGUAACAAACCAGAGGAAUAUAUUUAAAAAUAUUAGGACUUUUACAGAAAUAACUUAUAAAAGUUGAAUUUUACCGAAAGAUAUUUAUAAUUCACUAUAUUUACGGAGACCUGAAUGUAAUUAACCCUUUAGAUAAAUUCCUUGUAUUUUUAUUUUUCUU